This 253-nucleotide ribosomal RNA is filed under the name uncultured bacterium. Its description in RNAcentral is "partial 16S ribosomal RNA". It matches the Rfam family "Bacterial small subunit ribosomal RNA", at positions 524 to 776 of the family's 1533-position model. The record is from RNAcentral.
UACGAAGGGGGCUAGCGUUGUUCGGAAUUACUGGGCGUAAAGGGCGCGUAGGCGGCCUGUUAAGUCGAACGUGAAAUCCCCGGGCUCAACCCGGGAACUGCGUCCGAUACUGGCAGGCUUGAAUCCGGGAGAGGGAUGCGGAAUUCCAGGUGUAGCGGUGAAAUGCGUAGAUAUCUGGAGGAACACCGGUGGCGAAGGCGGCAUCCUGGACCGGCAUUGACGCUGAGGCGCGAAAGCCAGGGGAGCAAACGGG